UGCAGCCAUGCCGCGUGUAUGAAGAAGGCCUUCGGGUUGUAAAGUACUUUCAGCGGGGAGGAAGGGAGUAAAGUUAAUACCUUUGCUCAUUGACGUUACCCGCAGAAGAAGCACCGGCUAACUCCGUGCCAGCAGCCGCGGUAAU
RNAcentral lists this ribosomal RNA (145 nucleotides) under Escherichia coli 1-110-08_S4_C2. Its description in RNAcentral is "partial 23S ribosomal RNA". It matches the Rfam family "Bacterial small subunit ribosomal RNA", at positions 387 to 524 of the family's 1533-position model. Lineage: Bacteria; Pseudomonadati; Pseudomonadota; Gammaproteobacteria; Enterobacterales; Enterobacteriaceae. The record is from RNAcentral. RNAcentral also lists the same sequence under 1 other name.